GUGCGGGGCGCAGCGCCGCGUCCACCCCGCAACGCGCAUACGGCGCAAGAUGGUACUUGCUAUUCUCCUCCCUCCAUAAUAUUCUCACAACAACCAGGCUAAGAAGGAGCGACUCGUCCAAGAUCACCUGGAGAGAUUCCAGUCCUUGCGCUGGCUGCACUUCCCAAACAAUUUUCAAGGGCUGCCCUGUGUAGCUUCCAUUGCAGCAACUGAGAUCAGAUGAUUUGCCCAUGCAGUAUCAUGACUGAACUAUCUUGGUCCAGCAACAACUUCACUAG
Molecule: long non-coding RNA, 278 nt
Filed under: Salvator merianae (Argentine black and white tegu)
Lineage: Eukaryota; Metazoa; Chordata; Lepidosauria; Squamata; Teiidae
Description: lncRNA (ENSSMRG00000003962.1)
Source: RNAcentral